This is a non-coding RNA of Cinara cedri, 264 nucleotides long. Lineage: Eukaryota; Metazoa; Arthropoda; Insecta; Hemiptera; Aphididae. The record is from the annotation of a GenBank genome assembly.
AAACCGAAUGCUGAGUUAAUAAUACUGAUAGGUUGGUACAACUUGGUUAAAAUAAUAAUAUACCUACGAAUAGACUAGUCAUCAGUGAGUGAAAAUAAAAAAUCCCCAAUAUUAAUCAUAGUAAUGCUUAAAUCAUGAUUUUAAAAAUAUCUUCCUUUAACAAUAUAUUAUGUUUUAAUGAAAUAUUCAAAAUUACAAUAAACAUUUAUUAAUAGUUAGGUAUCGUAUAUUAUCUGAUCUUACUUAAUAUCAUCUUAAUCGGUU